UACGUAGGAGGCGAGCGUUGUCCGGAGUUACUGGGCGUAAAGGGUGCGCAGGCGGCGUCACGCGUGGAUAGUUGAAAUCUCCUGGCUUACCUGGGAGGGUGGUAUCCAGACGGUGGCGCUUGAGGGUCGGAGAGGGGCGUGGAAUUCCGGGUGGAGCGGUGAAAUGCGUAGAGAUCCGGAGGAAGACCGGUGGCGAAGGCGGCCUGCUGGGCAGUUACUGACACUGAGGCGCGACAGCGUGGGGAGCAAACAGG
RNAcentral lists this ribosomal RNA (254 nucleotides) under uncultured bacterium. RNAcentral describes it as "partial 16S ribosomal RNA". It matches the Rfam family "Bacterial small subunit ribosomal RNA", at positions 524 to 776 of the family's 1533-position model. The record is from RNAcentral.